Molecule: ribosomal RNA, 468 nt
Filed under: uncultured bacterium
Lineage: Bacteria
Description: partial 16S ribosomal RNA
Rfam family: Bacterial small subunit ribosomal RNA
Source: RNAcentral
GACGAACGCUGGCGGCGUGCUUAACACAUGCAAGUCGAACGGAAAGGCCCUGCUUUUGUGGGGUGCUCGAGUGGCGAACGGGUGAGUAACACGUGAGUAACCUGCCCUUGACUUUGGGAUAACUUCAGGAAACUGGGGCUAAUACCGGAUAGGAGCUCCUGCUGCAUGGUGUUGGUUGGAAAGUUUCGGCGGUUGGGGCUGGACUCGCGGCUUAUCAGCUUGUUUGUGGGGUAGUGGCUUACCAAGGCUUUGACGGGUAGCCGGCCUGAGAGGGUGACCGGCCACAUUGGGACUGAGAGACGGACCAGACUCCUACGGGAGGCAGCAGGGGGGAAUAUUGCACAAUGGGCGGAAGCCUGAUGCAGCAACGCCGCGUGCGGGAUGACGGCCUUCGGGUUGUAAACCGCUUUCGAAUGUGACGAAGAGUGAGUGACGGUAAUGGGUAAAGAAGCACCGGCUAACUACGUG